This 406-nucleotide ribosomal RNA is filed under the name uncultured bacterium. RNAcentral describes it as "partial 16S ribosomal RNA". It matches the Rfam family "Bacterial small subunit ribosomal RNA", at positions 30 to 526 of the family's 1533-position model. The record is from RNAcentral.
AUUGAACGCUGGCGGCAGGCCUAACACAUGCAAGUCGAACGAGUGGCGGACGGGUGAGUAAUGUCUGGGAAACUGCCCGCUGGAGGGGGAUAACUACUGGAAACGGUAGCUACUACCGCAUACUAUCGGAUGUGCCCAGAUGGGCUUAGCUAGUUGGUGGGGUAAAGGCUCCCCUGGGCGACGAUCCCUAGCUGGUCUGAGAGGAUGAACAGCGACACUGGAACUGAGACACGGUCCAGACUGCUACGGGAGGCAGCAGUGGGGAAUAUUGCACAAUGGGCGCAAGCCUGAUGCAGCCAUGCCGCGUGUAUGAAGAAGGCGUUCGGGUUGUAAAGUACUUUCAGCGAGGAGGCGUUACGCGCAGAAGAAGCACCGGCUAACUCCGUGCCAGCAGCCGCGGUAAUAC